AUGGGCCGCAGCCGCCUGUGCCCUUCGCCAACGCCCCGCCGCCGCAGCAGCCGUCGUGGCAGCCGCCAUCCUCAGCGACCCCCGUCGCCGCCACCAGCGACAAACCCCGGCGCCUCCACCAUGCAGCAGGGGCAACAGCUGCAGCCGCCGCCACCGGCGAUUGCGGCCCUGGGCAUCCCGACGACGGGCCCGGGGGUGCCCAUCCACCAGGUCCAGUUUCCCCCGUCGUCGUCUCCGUUACCGGUCUGGCUCGCUGGGUCCCUUGAGCCGGUCUACACGACGGCCUCGGUCGGGCCGCACGUGCUGCCCCUGCUGACGACGCACCCGGCCAUGCAGUUUGGCGGGUCCUCGGGCUCCGCCGAGCCCUUCGCCAGCGUCGACGGGCCCUUGUUCCAAGGCGGCACCCUGAUGCUCGCCUAUUUGGCCCCGUCAUCCUCGCUGCUUCGUGCUGACGAGGUGCACCCGCCCGUCGUCCACGUCCAGACGCCGCCGAGAUUCUCCAAGCUGGAGUUCGUGACCUACGACAGCACCGUCGACCCCCUGAAUUGGCUCAACCAAUGCGACCAAGCAGGGGACAGCGCACGCUUGCGUCCGACCGCACCUGGAUCGCCUCGUAUCAUCUUCGAGGAGCCGCACAAACGUGGUACUACGCCCUCGAACAGGAAAAGGGCGGCAUGCCACCAUGGGAGCGCUUCCGCGAUUUGUGCAUCUUGCUUCGGUCCGCCUAUACGCAGGAGCCGUCUGGCGGAGCUUGGGCGUCUUUCGUUCCUCACCUCGGUGCAAGACUUCGCCGACCGCUUCCAGGCCCUGGCGUGCCACGCCCCCGGCGUUUCGGCUCGUCAGCGGGCUGAGCUCUUCGUUGGCGGCCUACCGGGCCACAUCCGCGUGGACGUGGAGAUGCGCGGGCCACAGGACCUUCAGACGGCCAUGUACUACGCCCGCGCGUGGCCAUCCAGCAGGCGCCACCGCCCCGGGCCGCUAGGCCGCCACCCUGGCCGGAAGUUCCCGCCCAAGGUCGGCUUGCCCAGGCUUCCGCGGCGUCCCUUGAGGGUUGUGCUUCAACUGCGACGAGCCCUACGUACCGGGCCAUGUCUGCCAACGACUCUUCUACCUGGAGGCUGCAGACUACAUUGA
RNAcentral lists this ribosomal RNA (1134 nucleotides) under Triticum aestivum (bread wheat). RNAcentral's name for it is "partial small subunit ribosomal RNA". Lineage: Eukaryota; Viridiplantae; Streptophyta; Magnoliopsida; Poales; Poaceae. The record is from RNAcentral.